GUUCUCAGAGCCUUGAGAGAGCGUGGUCGCGAGCGUCUCCCGUGGCCAUGCGCGAUAGUGACAACCGCACCGUCCCCAACUUCCUCGCCCGCCACCCUGUCCUGUUCCGAGGACGAAAAGUGCAUGCGUAGAAGGAGCCAGGACAAGCCAGAACCUUACGACAGGAAUCCUAAGGAAGAAAAAACACAGAAAGUGGCUAGAGAAGAUCUUUGACCUACAUUGGACUUCGCCAGCCGGGGCUGAGCCAUUGGCUUGUGGGACAAGAGUCAGGGAAACACAGUUCAGGAUGCGAGCAAGCCCUCUGCCUGACACUCCUCCUGCUGCCUUGGCUCCACCAUUGUGUACUCCAGCCUCUGGAACUAUAAGC
Molecule: long non-coding RNA, 367 nt
Organism: Chionomys nivalis (European snow vole)
Lineage: Eukaryota; Metazoa; Chordata; Mammalia; Rodentia; Cricetidae
Exons: 4
Source: RefSeq, a predicted model, not a curated record